CAUAGUUUUUACUAUAUUCAACAUUUCUCACAAAGUUUCUAUUGUUAUUGUAAGCUUUCUCUCUUGCUUGUCCAGGAAUUUUUGUACCAUAUCCUGUUGUAUACUUUGUUUAAUACUUAAAGUGAAGUCAGUUUAACUAGUAGUUAGUUGAAGUUUGAAACAUUCUAUAUAGUUGUUUCUGUCUGAGACGUGCUUUUCUCUGUCUUCCCUUGAUUUUUCCCCCAUUGGACAGAUACUUUUGUGAUAUUAAAUGCAUUACUAGAAGUUGGUAGAAUAUUAAAUGUAUGACUAGAAGCUAAUAUAAGUUGUUAGAAGAUUCUAGAGAUCUCCUUGUAAUUAUUACUUUAGGGUUAAAGUUCUCUAUAUAUAGAGACUAAUGUACUAUUUCAAAUGAAUCAAUUGAAUAAAAAUCUUCUUUCAAAUUAAUUCUUUCUAGUUGGUAUAAGCUCCCGAUCUUGGGAGUCUUGCUUCAUUUCUUCUUUACCAUCUUAGUUACAGUUCCUUUUAGGGUUGCCUGAAGUGCACCCAUGUCCUUUAAAUAUUGGGAUUGGAUAUCCUGAAGUGCACCCAACUUGUGGUUUUGUUUGUUGUUGCACCCCGCUAUCCACCAGUGCUGUUGGCAGACCUUGUCACUGUACCCUUGCUGGAGUUGUUGUCGGAGUCGUCGUCGGGCUAUCUUGUUAGAGCUUUCACCAUUGCUAUCAUCAGAAUUGUCGUUAUUGCCACUGCUGCCACAUCUGGAGCUCUUUUGUCUUAUUGUUCUCUUUUAAUUAAGAGGGGAUUCUAUUAUUUACUUCAGCAUGGCAGCUCCACUAAGCAAUGUUGAGCUUCUAACUUCAGAGAUUCAUGCAAUACGUGAUGAAAUUGAAGUUUGAAAUCUCGGAUGGAGUCCACCAAUAAGUCACCUUCUCGUCUUGGUCUCUAGCUAUGACUAGAUCUUGCCAUAAGGAGCACGAUUGGAACUGUUAAGGAACUGGGAGGGUUGUAUUGUUUUAACAACUAGGGAUCUAAAGAUAAUAUUAGUACACAAAUAGGUACCCCUUACUCCAAUCUUGCGCUACUUUUGAGUCCUCUCAAAUUUGGCUUCUCCAUCGUUGUCUAGGACAUCCCUCCUUUUCGGUUCUAUGGUUUAUGAUCCCUUCCUUAUUUUCUAAAGAGUUUGUUAAGUCAUGUAAAUGUGAUGUAUGCCAACUUGGAAAACACCAUUGUGCCACAUAUACUCCUAGUAAUACAAAGAGUGUCCAACCUUUUGACU
Molecule: long non-coding RNA, 1255 nt
Organism: Vigna angularis (adzuki bean)
Lineage: Eukaryota; Viridiplantae; Streptophyta; Magnoliopsida; Fabales; Fabaceae
Exons: 2
Source: RefSeq, a predicted model, not a curated record